This is a long non-coding RNA of Homo sapiens (human), 2592 nucleotides long. Ensembl annotates it as KIF5C antisense RNA 1. Its record names the gene KIF5C-AS1. The record is from Ensembl. NCBI's taxonomy places the organism in Eukaryota, Metazoa, Chordata, Mammalia, Primates, Hominidae.
UGUAUAUCUGUGGUUGGAUAUACUUUUUUUUUUUUAAUAUUAAGCACCAACCAAAAGAAGAAAGGAGGAUAGAAAAAAUAAAAUGGAAGAUGUAGGGUGGGCAGAUUAGGGCUGCGUUUGUUGCUUGCUUUCAUGUUACCAUCAUAGCGUUUUUGCCACUUACAAAGGAGGAAAAAAAUCAAUUCUGUGCCAACCCAGACAACAGAGACCUGAGUGGGGGUUGGGAAGAGAGAUUUUUCAGCACAGAAUCAGACUCCUUCUCCAAAGAGCUGUGUGGCCUUCACCUGCAAGGCGACCUCUUCCACAAGCAGAGGCCAGGACAAAAAGAGGCACCUGUGAGCGACAAAGACGGUUUCCUUGGUUUCCCUCACGGCGCCAAGCGGAGUGGCCGCCUCCCACCACAGGGCCCCCUAAUGGGCGCUUUUGUCCUGCGGGGCAGAGGGACCUCAUUAGAAGGCGCUGGUGCUAAAGGGAAAUGCAUUUCCAGAACAGGAGGUUUCAUCAUUCCUAGCGUUAGCGACAGAAUGGUGACAGAAGCUCUGUGGACGUAUUUUCCAGCGUUCAGUUCACAUCAAGGAUGGGUAUGCACUGGCGGAAAAGGCCCUCAGGAGGAAGCACUCAUCUUUAACAAGACCUGCUUUCUCAGGACUGCAAACAAGAGAAAAGCCCAAUAAGAGGAAAGUGAAGUGUGAAAAUCCAUUUCAAAGAACUUUACUGAGAACUCACCAUGUCAGAGAGCUUCCAUUAAUACAGUUGCUUCAAAACCAAUAGGCAGAACCCAAAGUAAUGGAUGACUCACCAGGACUUUUAGCAGCUAAUGGAGUACUCUGAGAAAUGCUGUAAAUCCAAUAUUUUUGCUGAAAAAUUAAUGUGUUAUGGGAGGGAGCCUCUUUUCUAAUCACUUACCCACCCCCACCCUCUACUUCUAGUUCACCAUCAGCAUCUUUAGCUCUUCUAAUUUUUGCCAAAGCUGAAUGCAGUUCUUUCCCAAUUUUCUUAUAUCAUUUUAAGUAUUAUAUAUGCUAUCUUACCAGGCCCACUCAGAGAAACAGCACUUAUCUUUAAAAUUAUUUUUUAACUACUCCCCACAGCCUACGGCCAAUAAAAACUCUGUAAACUAUGUUAAAUAUACCAAAGUAAAGUUUCCAGAAUUCACAGAGAGAUCGAUAAAUAUUUACUAAGUGCCUUCUACAGACAAAGCCCUGGGAAGUAUAAAGGAGCAAAACAUGCACAGUUCUUGUCUCUAAACAUGGCUUACAAUGUCAUUAGGCAUAUGACCAAAGCUAAUAAUAAUCCAAGGCAAAAAACUUGGGAGAUCAUAUACAAAACAAAUGCUAUAGGAGUUCAAAGUGGGGAAAGACUGUGGCUGGUGUGGUCAGAGAAAGACAGCUUUGCACAAAGCUGAAAAACUGCAGGAGUGAUGGAGAACAUUUCUCCCAAACAGGACAUUUUCAUAAAAGAGAAAUCUAGAAACUCCACCUGUAAAAUCUCUUUCUUGGAAUAUAUCUCCAUAACAAACAGAACUUUAAGGGAAAAAAUGACCCCAGUUUCAAAAACACAAAGAAUUUCUGGGAUUCUGAAUUUGGACUAACAGAUAACUCCACCAAAAUUCAUUCUUUACUUGUCUCUGUUUGAAGGUGACAUAUUUCUGGAUGAUCUGGGCUUCUUUGGUCAUCCACAGUCUGUGCCCCUAGAACUAAGGAAGGUUGUGUACAUCUCAGACAGUUUUCACUUGCAACUGAGCCAUGUCAGCCGGCUCCAACUGAAUUGACUUGGGACCAUUCUACUCAUUGCAUAUGGCAUGAUACAGACUGCCAGAACCCUCAUUUCCUUUAGUGCCACAUUAUCAAUUAGGAAUGGGAAGGAUCCUGGCACAUGCCAACCCAACUCCCAAACCCUUCAGUAUCUGGCAGUCUUCUAUUCUGUACAUGCACUCACCAAAAUAUACAUAAACGAAUGUUCAUAGCAGCACUAGCCAUAUUAGCCCCAAACCGGAAACUAUCCAAAUAUCCAUCAACAGUCAGUAGACAAAUUGUAGUAUAUUCAUAUCAUGGAAUACUACAAAACAAUGAGGAUGAAUUUGACAAGCAUAACACUUAAUCCCAAGAAACCACACACAAAAGAGAACAUACUCUAUGGUUUUAUGUAAUAUAAAGUUAAAAAGAAACAAGCAAAACUAAUAGCAUCAGAAGUGAGAAUCAUGGUUACCCUGAAGCAGGGGGAUUUAGGGACUGGAAGGGCCACAAGGGGGAUUUCUAGGGUCCCAAAAUGUCUGUUUCUUAGUCUGUGAGGUGGUUACAGGGAGCAUUUACUUUAUGAAAAGUCAUCCAACUGUAUACUUAUGAUAACAGUUUUCUAUAUGAAUGCUUCAUUUCAAUAAAAAGUUUACCUUAGAAAAACUGAAAACUGUUGUAUUAAAGGAUUAUAGUAGGAUGAGCAAAACUUACUUUACGGUUGAAAAGCAAUGUGUAUAUUCACAUCUAUGAUUUUUAUUUAAACUUCUUAUUUAAUAUGGUGACUUGGUUUUAAUUUGUUUAGCCACUAAUAUAUGUUUAUUUAGAUAAGGAAAUAUAUACUCAUAGCAAUGUCAUA